Triticum urartu is the source of this 46-nucleotide non-coding RNA. The record is from Rfam. NCBI's taxonomy places the organism in Eukaryota, Viridiplantae, Streptophyta, Magnoliopsida, Poales, Poaceae.
AUAUAGGUCUUUUUAGAGACCACAAUAUGGUCUACAUACGGAGUAA